GACGAACGCUGGCGGCGUGCUUAACACAUGCAAGUCGAACGGAAAGGCCCUGCUUUUGUGGGGUGCUCGAGUGGCGAACGGGUGAGUAACACGUGAGUAACCUGCCCUUGACUUUGGGAUAACUUCAGGAAACUGGGGCUAAUACCGGAUAGGAGCUCCUGCUGCAUGGUGGGGGUUGGAAAGUUUCGGCGGUUGGGGAUGGACUCGCGGCUUAUCAGCUUGUUGGUGGGGUAGUGGCUUACCAAGGCUUUGACGGGUAGCCGGCCUGAGAGGGUGACCGGCCACAUUGGGACUGAGAUACGGCCCAGACUCCUACGGGAGGCAGCAGUGGGGAAUAUUGCACAAUGGGCGGAAGCCUGAUGCAGCAACGCCGCGUGCGGGAUGACGGCCUUCGGGUUGUAAACCGCUUUCGCCUGUGACGAAGCGUGAGUGACGGUAAUGGGUAAAGAAGCACCGGCCAACUACGUG
RNAcentral lists this ribosomal RNA (468 nucleotides) under uncultured bacterium. RNAcentral describes it as "partial 16S ribosomal RNA". It matches the Rfam family "Bacterial small subunit ribosomal RNA", at positions 28 to 507 of the family's 1533-position model. The record is from RNAcentral.